UACGUAGGGUGCAAGCGUUAAUCGGAAUUACUGGGCGUAAAGCGUGCGCAGGCGGCUUUGCAAGACAGAUGUGAAAUCCCCGGGCUUAACCUGGGAACUGCAUUUGUGACUGCAUGGCUAGAGUGCGGCAGAGGGGGAUGGAAUUCCGCGUGUAGCAGUGAAAUGCGUAGAUAUGCGGAGGAACACCGAUGGCGAAGGCAAUCCCCUGGGCCAUUACUGACGCUGAGGAGCGAAAGCGUGGGGGGCGAACAGG
Molecule: ribosomal RNA, 253 nt
Filed under: uncultured bacterium
Lineage: Bacteria
Description: partial 16S ribosomal RNA
Rfam family: Bacterial small subunit ribosomal RNA
Source: RNAcentral